Molecule: transfer RNA, 72 nt
Filed under: Camelus bactrianus (Bactrian camel)
Lineage: Eukaryota; Metazoa; Chordata; Mammalia; Artiodactyla; Camelidae
Also listed under: 3 other names
Rfam family: tRNA
About the family: Transfer RNA (tRNA) molecules are approximately 80 nucleotides in length. Their secondary structure includes four short double-helical elements and three loops (D, anti-codon, and T loops).
Source: Rfam by way of RNAcentral
GAGGGUAUAGCUCAGUGGUAGAGUGCGUGCUUAGCAUGCAUGAGGUCCUAGGUUCAAUCCCCAGUCCCUCCA